CAGCAGCCGCGGUAAUACGUAGGGUGCAAGCGUUAAUCGGAAUUACUGGGCGUAAAGCGUGCGUAGGCGGUGAGUUAAGUCUGCUGUGAAAUCCCCGGGCUCAACCUGGGAACUGCAUUUGUGACUGGCAAGCUAGAGUGUGGCAGAGGGGGGUGGAAUUCCGCGUGUAGCAGUGAAAUGCGUAGAUAUGCGGAGGAACACCGAUGGCGAAGGCAGCCCCCUGGGCCAACACUGACGCUCAUGCACGAAAGCGUGGGGAGCAAACAGGAUUAGAUACCCCAGUAGUCCCUGUCUCUUAUAA
RNAcentral lists this ribosomal RNA (301 nucleotides) under uncultured bacterium. RNAcentral describes it as "partial 16S ribosomal RNA". It matches the Rfam family "Bacterial small subunit ribosomal RNA", at positions 509 to 809 of the family's 1533-position model. The record is from RNAcentral.